This is a long non-coding RNA of Dromaius novaehollandiae (emu), 846 nucleotides long. RefSeq lists it as uncharacterized. Lineage: Eukaryota; Metazoa; Chordata; Aves; Casuariiformes; Dromaiidae. The record is from RefSeq and is a predicted model, not a curated record. The transcript has 3 exons.
GCAGCCGCGGCAAUCGGGGGGGGCGCCGGAGCCGGCAGCUCGGCGAGCAGCGGCAGGAGGCCGGGAAAACGCGAAAAAGGAAGGAAAAUAACCGAAAAAAAAGCGGGUCACUCCAGAGCCCCGGCUGUGGCUUUCGGUGCCCCCCAGGUCACUUUGCUCUGCCUUUUGGUGCCCCCCGAGCUCCAGACGUGACUUCCGAGGCGCCGCGGACCCAUUUCACGUGCUCCCAGCACAUCCGGCACUGCGGAGGAGCAGCCCCCCUCUCCAGGGAGAGCACCUUUUCCAGCCCUGCUUGGCCCCGAGGACGUCGGGAAAGCAGCCACGGCCACUCCGGGGCGAGUUCGGGCCCUGGGACUGCGACGCUGCUGCAGCUGGACACCGGCGUUGCGGACGGCGGCAAAGCUUGGGGGCGUAAACGCGGCUCUGGGCACAUGUCCGAGCUGCCGCGCUUUUUUUGCCCCCACACAACUCACGCGGGUUGGAGCGGCUCAGGUUGGGCCAGGUCUCCCCACUGCCCCCCCGGGGAGCCAGUCAGCUCCAGGCCUGCCCCCGACGCCCCCCUCGCCCUUAAAGGCAGGGGCGAGAGACUUUAAGAGGCUUAAAGUCUCUGGCUACCCUUAAAGUUACUUUGAGUUAUUUAUGUCCUCUUAAGUAAUUCAAAGCAACUUUAAGAAUAACCUAAAGAAUUCAGAUGAACUUUAAGAACUUAAGUUCAAAAGCUUUAUUCUUAAGUUCUUAAAGUUUGUCUGAGUUACUUAGGUUAUUCUUAAAGUUACUUUGAGUUACUUAAUGUCCUCCUAAGUAACUUUAAGGGUAGCCAGAGACUUAAAGGCAGGGGCAAGAGAC